CCUACGGUGGCAGCAGUGGGGAAUAUUGGACAAUGGGCGAAAGCCUGAUCCAGCCAUGCCGCGUGAGUGAAGAAGGCCUUCGGGUUGUAAAGCACUUUCAGUGGGGAAGAAAGCCUUGGGGCUAAUACCCUCGAGGAAGGACAUCACCCACAGAAGAAGCACCGGCUAACUCCGUGCCAGCAGCCGCGGUAAUACGGAGGGUGCGAGCGUUAAUCGGAAUUACUGGGCGUAAAGCGCGCGUAGGCGGUCUGAUAAGCCGGUUGUGAAAGCCCCGGGCUCAACCUGGGAACGGCAUCCGGAACUGUCAGGCUAGAGUGCAGUAGAGGAAGGUAGAAUUCCCGGUGUAGCGGUGAAACGCGUAGAGAUCGGGAGGAAUACCAGUGGCGAAGGCGGCCUUCUGGACUGACACUGACGCUGAGGUGCGAAAGCGUGGGUAGCAAACAGGAUUAGAUACCCUUGUAGUC
This 464-nucleotide ribosomal RNA is filed under the name Vreelandella stevensii. Its description in RNAcentral is "partial 16S ribosomal RNA". It matches the Rfam family "Bacterial small subunit ribosomal RNA", at positions 338 to 795 of the family's 1533-position model. The record is from RNAcentral. Lineage: Bacteria; Pseudomonadati; Pseudomonadota; Gammaproteobacteria; Oceanospirillales; Halomonadaceae.